CCACACACUGGGGUUGCAGCCUGAUGCAGCCAUGCCGCGUGUGUGAAGAAGGCCUUCGGGUUGUAAAGUACUUUCAGUCGGAGGAAGGCGGUGUCGUUAAUAGCGGCGUCGUUUGACGUUAGCGACAGAAGAAGCACCGGCUAACUCCGUGCCAGCAGCCGCGGUAAUACGGAGGGUGCGAGCGUUAAUCGGAAUUACUGGGCGUAAAGCGCAUGCAGGUGGUUUGUUAAGUCAGAUGUGAAAGCCCGGGGCUCAACCUCGGAAUAGCAUUUGAAACUGGCAGACUAGAGUACUGUAGAGGGGGGUAGAAUUUCAGGUGUAGCGGUGAAAUGCGUAGAGAUCUGAAGGAAUACCGGUGGGAAGGCGGCCCCCUGGACAGAUACUGACACUCAGAUGCGAAAGCGUGGGGAGCAAACAGGAUUAGAUACCCUGGUAGUCCACGCCGUAAACGAUGUCUACUUGGAGGUUGUGGCCUUGAGCCGUGGCUUUCGGAGCUAACGCGUUAAGUAGACCGCCUGGGGAGUACGGUCGCAAGAUUAAAACUCAAAUGAAUUGACGGGG
RNAcentral lists this ribosomal RNA (561 nucleotides) under Vibrio sp. sw9. RNAcentral describes it as "bacterial SSU rRNA". It matches the Rfam family "Bacterial small subunit ribosomal RNA", at positions 359 to 918 of the family's 1533-position model. The record is from RNAcentral. Lineage: Bacteria; Pseudomonadati; Pseudomonadota; Gammaproteobacteria; Vibrionales; Vibrionaceae.